RNAcentral lists this non-coding RNA (28 nucleotides) under Mus musculus (house mouse). The record is from RNAcentral. Lineage: Eukaryota; Metazoa; Chordata; Mammalia; Rodentia; Muridae.
UCUCAACAAGUGAAACACUGCUUUGGAG